UCCGCGGGGGCGGGGGCGGGGCCCAGGGCGGCCGGUUGGGGACCCGGCGCGCGGCGCGGGGGCGGCCCGCUAGUUGUCGGGAGCGGGCGGAGCCGCCGCGAGACCCGGGGGCCUCUGCAGGCGACGGCGCGGCUGGGCCGCGGCGCACUCCCACUCCUGGCUGGUGAAGGAUGGGCGAGCUGGAAGGAACCUACCGGGUCCUGCAGACCCCGGGGGCACGCCUGGGCGGACAAGCCCCCGUGGGCGUCAGCACCCUGGAGCCCGGGCAGAGCCCCGCGGCGGCAGCGGCCAGGCUGCAGGUGCGCGUGGAGCUGCUGGACGGCACCGUGGAGGCGUUCGCCGUGGAGCCUAAAUGCACCGGGCAGACGCUGCUGACGCAAGUGUGGAAGCGUUUGAAUCUGAUAGAAUGUGACUACUUUGGCUUGGAGUUUCAGACCCUCCAGUCCCGCUGGGUUUGGCUUGAACCCGUGAAGCCUAUCGUUAGGCAAGUACGAAGGCCCAAGAGUGCUGCGCUCCGCCUGGCAGUGAAGUUCUUCCCACCCGACCCGGGUCAGCUGCAGGAAGAACACACACGGUACCUGUUCGCCCUGCAGCUUAAGCGAGACCUGCUGGAGGAGCGGCUGACCUGCACGGACGCCACGGCGGCCCUGCUCGCGUCCCACCUCCUGCAGUCGGAAAUAGGCGACUACGACGAGACGCUGGACCGGGAGCACCUGCGUGCCCACGAGUACCUGCCUGGGCAGGAGCGUGCCCUCGAGAGGGUCCUGCAGCUGCACCGGCAGCACGUGGGCCAGACGCCUGCCGAGUCGGAUUUCCAGGUGCUUGAAAUCGCCCGGAAGUUGGAAAUGUACGGCCUCCGAUUUCACGCGGCCGCGGACAGGGAGGGCGCCGGGAUCAGCCUGGCGGUCUCGCAUAUGGGUGUCCUCGUCUUCCAGAGCACCACCAAAAUCAACACCUUCAACUGGUCCAGGGUCCGAAAGCUCAGCUUCAAGAGGAAAAGGUUUCUUAUCAAACUCCACCCAGAGGUCCAUGGACCUUACCAGGACACACUGGAGUUCUUGUUCAGCAGCAGAGACGAGUGUAAGCGCUUCUGGAAGAUCUGUGUGGAGCAUCACACCUUCUUUCGGCUUUGCGAUCAGCCGAAGCCGAGAGCUAAAGCCGUGCUCUUCACCCGAGGCUCCUCCUUCAGAUACAGUGGAAGAACCCAGCGGCAGCUAGCGGAUUUGGUCAAAGCUGGUGGCGCCAAGAGGGUUCCCUAUGAAAGAAGACACAGCAAGAUGCGGGCGCCUCUCCGGACCCCGACUGCAGACGCGCCCCGGCCGAGCAUCUCGUUCACGGAGGGCCUGAGGACGCCUGCCUCCCCACCGUCGUCAGAUGCCUCCCCUCCAGCCCCGCCGAGCCUGCUCGGCUUCCAGGACGGCUUCCCCAGGGAGCCACGGGCUCCAGACGCCAGGUGGCCAGCAGCAGAGAGGAGCGGCAGAGCCGGGGACGCGAGCCGGGCCCAGCCGCCCAGGCUGCCUGCGCUGCAGCCCUGCCAAGGCCCCUCGGAGGAGAGUCCUCAGCCUCCCCCCUCCACCCAGGAGAGCCCGCUGGGCCCAGCGGAGCAGGGCUCCACCCCCCUCCUGAGCCCCGCCCCCCGUGUCACCAGGAUGGACCACAAGGGCGCGCCGGCCGACGAGGCCUACUUCAUAGCGGAGGAGAUCCUCGCUACGGAGCGAACAUACCUGAAGGAUCUGGAAGUUAUCACCGUGGUAGGAAACCCACGCCCGGAGGCCUGGCUCUCGUCGCGGCUGCAGCAGGCCGGGCCGGAGGCGCCGAGCAGGGCUGCCAGCCCGGCUCCUCACGUGUGGCUCCCCUCGCGUGGCCUCGUCAGGGCCACACUGGCUCCAGCCUUCUUACACUGGGGACUUGACCCUCUGAAGCUUUUCAGGUCGGGAAACCUGGGCGGUCGGCCAGGAGGUGGCCAGAGCAGUGCUGCGAGCUGCCUGGGGGGCUGGCUCCCUGGGUCCUCUGGCCCUGGUCACUUGCACCGCCCGUCACCCAGCCAGGUGGUCCCCCCACCCCGGGCCGCAGACCCCCAGGCCCCUUCCAAGGCUCCCCGUCCCCUGUCACCCGGGGCCAGGGCAGCCAGCCCCCACCACCUUCUCUACAUCACCCAGCCCCAGCCCCUGGGUCCCCAGGCCCCGCCCGUCACCCGCGCUCUCCCGCAGUGGUUCCGGCGCGCGGUGGCCGAGGAGGACGCCAUGCCCGCAGACCUGACGGCCCUGCUCUUCUCCAGCGUGGACCCCAUCUACGCGUUCCACAGGGGCUUCCUGCACCAGGUGGAGCAGAGGCUGGCGCUCUGGAAAGUCUCCGCGGGCGCCCCAGCAGGCGGCCACCGGCGAAUCGGGGACGUGCUGCUGCGGAACAUGCUGCAGUUGACUGCGCUGACCCACCACUUCCAGAGGCUGGACGAGGUCCUGGCGGGGCUGGACACGGCCAGCAGGCGCCUGCGGAGGCUGGACGCGCUGUGCCGGAACUUUGAACUCCAGAAGGUCUGCUACCUGCCGCUCAACGCCUUCCUGCUGAAGCCGCUGCAGCGCCUGGGGCACUACCGCCGGCUGCUGGGCCGCCUGUGCGAGUGCCCAGACCCCAGGGAUCGCGGGGACCCCGACCGGGACCAGGACCGCGCUGACUGCCGCGACGCCCUCCAGGUCAUUACCGAGGUGACGGCCACACUGCAGCACAGCCUCCUCCGGCUGGAGAACCUCCAGAAGCUGAUGGAGCUGCAGCGGGACUUGGUUGGCGUUGAGAACCUCGUCUCCCCUGGCAGGGAGUUCAUCCGGGAGGGCUGCCUGCGCAAACUCACCAAGAAGGGCCUGCAGCAACGGAUGUUCCUCCUGUUCUCAGACAUGCUGCUGUACACGAGCCGGGGCGCCUCGGGGACCAGCCGCUUCCGGACCCGCGGCCUCCUCCCGCUGCGGGGCAUGCUGGUGAGUGCCUCCUCCCGCGGCCUGGUCCCUCCCGCCUGGCCUGGAGGGGCAGCGCCGCCCAAGCCCCAGCACCUGCAGGAACCGGCCCUCCUGUGGGGCCGGCACAGCUCACCCGGAGAGGAAGCCCAGGCCCUGCUCUGCGGACUGGGGUUUUACUUCCUUGGCUUUCUACUCCCGUGUCUUUGAUGCUGCGUUUGGCUCUUUGCGGCGUCACAUCAGUUACUUGACAUACACGGCUUCAAAAACCAAGACAGGUGCCACCGCUGCUAAAAAGGGGGUGGGGGCUGCAGGGCAAGACCCGCUCAGGGGGGCUCCCAGUGGCCUGCACGGAGCCUGUGUGGCCUCCCCAUGUGAUGAGGCACAAGCUUCAUCCCCAGAGCUGCUUCGGGCCUGGGCUCCGUUUACACCACACGCCGGCAGGGCAGCUCCGCGUCCCCCCCGUCACAGUGGGACAUGGCGCGGUGAUGUUGUCUCUGAUGAGCAGGAGUUCCUUGUGCUAAUGUGAUGCAGCCGGUCAGCCUUCUCCACGGUCAGUGCUUUUGUGACCUUGAAGGUCACAGAGGAUCUGACAGCCCGACGCCCUCGAGUAUAAACCGCACUCAGCCCAAACCCGUCUGUGGACGGCGGAGAUAAGUAGCCCAGUUCGUCUUUGCCGUAAAGAUGCGCUGUGUGUCCAGAACAUCUCACACAGUGACCAUGUCUCCCUGCAGCCCCCAGGUCUCCAUCCAGGCGUAGACAGGUGGGGUCCGUACCCUCCAGUUCCCGAGUCCUGAAGCAUCAGCACUGCCCUCCCCCUCCCCGGCUCUUCCCGCCUCCCCUCUCCUUCCAGAGGGCAGCUCUCCUCCGCAGGCACCUCUAAGUCCUUCGCUUGUCCAGCUCUCAGCAAAAAGGGGUCGCUUCGAAUGACCUCAUCUGCCACCCCUGGAAGCAGACCUCAUCUGUUUGAAAGUAGACUUUUUUUUUUUUUUUAGGGCUGCACCUGCGGCACAUGGAGGUUCCCAGGCUAGGGGUCGAAUCAGGGCUACAGCUGCCGGCCUCCACCACAGCCACAGCAUCGUGAAUCCCCAACCCACUGAGCAAGGACAGGGAUGGAACCCUCGUCCUCAUGGAUACUAGUCGGGUUCGUUCCCGCUGAGCCACGAAGGGACCUCCCAAAGUACACUUUUUAAAAUUCCACUUUAUAGAAAAACACUGAAAGUGUGAAAUGGAAAUCACCGCUCGUUUCACCUCCCGGUAGUCAGCCCGGGGCGGCGCCGCGCCAUCCUGUCCAGCUGUCUUGUAACCUGGCUUUGCGCAGCACCGCGUCUCCAGAGUCCUCUGUGUCCUCUGCGCUUCAGCUCGUUCCGGAGCCAGGGAUGUGGGCUGCGAGCCCAGCCUCAGUGUGCUAACCAGCUCCUGACCCUGGGCAUGUUGCAACAUCUGGUUUUCCAGAGGUAGAAACAGCACUGCUGGAUCUUUCCACGCUUCCCCGAUCUCUCAGUCCCCGAGUUAAGUCGCUGGGCGCGCUGGCCGUGCAGCUCCCGCCUCUCUGCGCCCUGCUGCUCCGGUUCCCGCUGUGUGUUCACGAGGCGCUUCCAAACCCUCACACAUGCUCCCCCGGGUCAGCAGUCCCUCAUCACGCUGCCUGCAGCUUGGUUUAAGCUGGAACUCCAUCCAGAUGGGGACUGUGUGUGUCUCACUUCCAGAACGGCGUCUGGCACAGGGGCCCUGACAGACUCGUUGCCGAAGGAGUUUUUCUGUGGUCACAUCUGUCCAUCUUCUCCUUUAGGGGAUUUGUCUCCGGUGUGGGCUCAGGAAGCCUCUGCCCACCCCAGGAUCAUAUUGGCACUUUCUUUCCUGGUGUGUGCAGUUUUAUUUUUCUCAUAAUUAAUGUGCCUAAAAUUUAUUUUCUCUGUUUUUUGAUUGGGAUGUAGCAUUUUUUCCCCAUGUGGUCACUUCCCCCAUUACUUGUUGAAUCCUUCAUUUUCUUACUGACACUUUAUCAUCAUAAAAACAUUCUUGUCUUUACAAGUUGAUUCUUCCUGGGAGUUCUGUUCCAUUUCUGUCUCUCCCAACACGGGUGUACACUUUUUUUUUUUCUGCUUUUUAGGGCCGCACCCACAACAUAGGGAUGUUCCCAAGCUAGUUGUCAAAUCACAGCUGCAGCUGCCAGUCUACACCACAGCCACUGCAACCCGGGAUCCAAGCCACAUCUGUACCCACACCACAGCUCACAGCAACACCCGAUCCUUAACCAACUGAGCGAGGCCAGGGAUCGAACCUGCGUUCUCAUGGAUGCUGGUCGGGUUUGUUUCCCACAACAGGAACUCGCAGUUUCUGAUCCUUUGUGUCUGGCCUGACGCUCAGUGGUGGCAUCCCAUGGGUGCUGCUCAGGGACUGUCCCUCCUGGGGGGUCACCUGUAAGGGUCUCGUCCCUCACUCCUGACUGUAAACUGAAGGUGGCAGCUCUUGGCUUGAGAAAGCUAAUUUCACCAGGUGGACAGCUUCCUCUGCCCGAGACAGGCCAUCGGAAGCAGCACCGUGGGUCUCCGCAUGUGGAGCGGUGGUCACUCUUCCUGCGGCUCUGGGCCAGCAGCACUGCAUUCCACCCGUCAGCUUGCUUUCGUCAACCCACCUCGCGUUCCCAGAGCAAGCUGACUGGGUCACAGGACAGUCUCUCAGUGCUGCACUUUGGUCUGAUUUUAUUCUGGAGUUCUUUUCUUUACUCUCCUAUAAUUGAGGUUAGUCUGUGCGGGUUUCUUUGAAUCUAACUUUGUUUGGUUUUGGUAGCAGCUUAUAAAAUGAAUUGUCCAACUCCCUUUUCGAUAACGAAAUUGCUCAACGUUUUCUCCUGUGCUUGAUUUUCAGCUAAUAGUGCUGGAUCCACCGGUGAGUAGCUGGGCGCCCUGUGGCCCUGAGCUCGCCCACUGGGCAUCAGGGGCCCCGGCGUGGGGAUCCCUCAGGCCUCCCGUAGCCGCAUAGUGUCAGCGUGAGCUUGGACAACACAGAGCGCCACACCGCCUGCGUCCUGCCGCAGGCCCCGCCGAGCGGGUCACAGCUCCGCCUCCUCUCCUGCCCGCAGGUGGAAGAGCUCGGGGAGUGGCCUGUCCCGCACUGUUUCACCAUCUUCGCGGCUCAGAAGACCAUCGUGGUGGCAGCCAGGAAACCGGGCAGCCUAACGAAUGAGGAGCCAGGAGCCAGUCUGCUAUCUCAGCAGCGGAGACUUAGCGCCCCGUUCCAGCUUGAGGGGUGCAGGCUGGGUGCACAAGGGCUCCCGGCUGGAAAAGGAGAAAUGGAUGCAGGACCUGAACACCGCCAUCGAGGCAGCCAAGAGCAGCGGCGACACGGCCCCGGCACCCACAGACAGCGUGCUGUGUGCCCUUCCCCACGGGUCCUCCGAAGAGGUGCCUCUGGAGCAGGAGUCAGAAGGUGGCUGCAGCGCCCAGGGUUCCUUGGACGGGCAGGGCCAGCGCCGGGCCACCACCACUGUGCACGUGUGCUGGCACCGCAGCACCAGUGUCUCCAGGGCUGACCGCAGUGCAGCCGUUGAGAAUCAGCUCUCGGGGUACCUGCUGAGAAAGUUCAAAAACAGCAGCGGCUGGCAGAGGCUCUGGGUGGUGGUCGCCAACUUCUGCUUGUUCUUCUACAAAACGCAUCAGGACGACUACCCGCUGGCCAGCCUCCCGCUGCUGGGCUACCGCGUGAGCGUCCCCAGGGAGGCCGACGGCGUCCACAAGGAGCACGUCUUCAAGCUCCAGUUCAAGUCCCACGUCUACUUCUUCCGGGCUGAGAGCAGAUACACCUUCCGGAGGUGGAUGGAGGUGAUCGAGCGAGCCAGCAGCUCAGCAGGGAGAGCCGGGGCUGCAGAGGGGGCUGCGUGACGCCCGCGCUCCCCAGACGGGGCCGCCAACGUGCCCUGCACUUGCUCACCCCGAGGAGACUGGCCACAGGUGGAUCUCACAGGCCCACGUGGGCGGGCAUCGCCCCCUCAAGACCCAGCGCAGGCCCCGACCCCGGGGGCACCAGGAAGAACACGUGUGCGUGGGAAUGGGCCAGCUCCGUGCGCUGACAGAGCCAGCGUCCCCCCGCCCUGUCCUCCAGGGCAGGCCUGGUCACAGCUGCAGGCAGGACCACCAGAAGGCCCUGUGGUGCCCCCGUCAUAUACUGCCACAGCGCGGAAGGCAAAGUCCCCCUUGACCCACCCCCAAGGAGGUGCGUUGUGCUCACAUGGGUCAAAAUAAAGGCGUGGCAUUCCCACCCUGGUGUGGGGGCUGAGG
Non-coding RNA from Sus scrofa (pig), 7228 nucleotides. Lineage: Eukaryota; Metazoa; Chordata; Mammalia; Artiodactyla; Suidae. The record is from RefSeq and is a predicted model, not a curated record.